Molecule: ribosomal RNA, 253 nt
Filed under: uncultured bacterium
Lineage: Bacteria
Description: partial 16S ribosomal RNA
Rfam family: Bacterial small subunit ribosomal RNA
Source: RNAcentral
GACAGAGGGUGCAAACGUUGUUCGGAAUUACUGGGCGUAAAGCGCGUGUAGGCGGCUAUGUAAGUCGGGCGUGAAAUCCCACGGCUCAACCGUGGAAGUGCACCCGAAACUGCGUAGCUAGAGUCCUGGAGAGGAAGGUGGAAUGCUUGGUGUAGAGGUGAAAUUCGUAGAUAUCAAGCGGAACACCGGUGGCGAAGGCGGCCUUCUGGACAGUGACUGACGCUGAGACGCGAAAGCGUGGGGAGCAAACGGG